CCCUUUAAUAAAUAUAAUUUUUUGAAUCAUUUGUGUCGUUAGUGUUUAACAGUUAUGAAUGGAAUGUCGAUCUCUUCUGUCCAAGAACUCCAGAAUCCUUCAGGUUUUACUGUUAAAAUUUGGUAAUUAUUAAUAAUCUAAUUAUUAAUCCAAAUUAAUAGUUGAACCAAGUUAAUGAGACUGAUUACAACAAAGUGACUAUCUUUUCCUACGAGACGUAGGUGGUGCCCUGAGGUUUUCUGAUGAAAUCAGAUCCAAAAUUCUUUAAUUAUCUUUGAUAAACAUGAAUUAUUACUGAUAGCCAAAUUCAUUAAGUUGAAAUCACAACAUUAUUGGUGCGGCUUGUGUGAGCCAGAAGAACCUUAAUGCUGUGAACCCCAACACCUGUUUAAAGGUCAAGUAUGUGGAGAAAUGCACCACACCCUCUUAUGAAACAAUAAUUGUUUUGUUCAAGUCAGUAAACCAGUAAACCUAUAAACCAAACAGAGUCUGAGUAAAACAAAAGCUGCAAGUCACACUGACUUGAGCAACCAGGAAACACAGAAGGGAUUUUCUUUCAAUCUCAACAACUGAAAUCUCUUUUUGACAACGUACAUGGUCAGUUCUAUUCUAUUCUAUUCUAUUCUAUUCUAUUCUAUUCUAUUCUAUUCUAUUCUAUUCUAUUCUAUUCCAUAUCUGCAAUAAUGCUCAAAUGAAAGACAAAGCUUCUAAUGUGUCAGUCUUAAAAAAAUGAAAGUCAUUCUUCACUGGGUUAAAAUAUCUGAUAGCAAACAUGCAUCAGUGAACAUUUACUUCAAACUGCUAAAUGUUCGCCUCCAUUAUAAGACCAGAGCACAAUUAAUCCUCUAGUUCUGUUACAAAAACGAGCUGUGCGGAUCAUCCACAAGGUGGGUUUUUUAGAACACACACAUCAUUUGUUUACUCAAUCAAAGUUGUUUAAAUUCAAUGAUCUCGUAAAAUAUAACACAUCAAUCAUUAUUUUUAAAGCUUUCAAUAAAUUAUUACCAACCAAUCUUCAACGCUUCUUUAUAAUUCGAGAGCAAACACAUGAUUUGAGAGGUUAUGCUAAUUUUACAUUACCCAAAGUUCGAACUACUCGUAAAAGAUUUUGUGUGUCUGUGUGUGGGGUGGAACUCUGGAACAGUUUGAACUUACAGCACAAGCAAUGCCAAAAUAUUAAUAGAUUUAAACUGUAUCAUAAACACCAGAUCUGGUCUAAAUAUAGGUACAGCAUGUUGUAACUCACCUUGUCAUUUACAGUUAUUGAUCACUGUGUUAUUCUGUACCAUAAUACGUUCUCCUUCUGUCGUUUUACAUGCCGGCCAUUUUCCAUGCUGGUUUAUUGUCUAUAUUAAUGUUCCAUUACCUUCAACUGUAUUCUGUUCUUUCACCUUGCUCAAUUUCUGGAAGCCUGUCCAUUCUAGUAUCUGUCCAGUUCUGCUAUUAGUCCAUUACCAUUGCUGGUAUUUGUCCAUUCUGGUAUUCUGUCCAUCACAAUUGCUGGUUUUUGUCAAUUACCAUUGCUGGUAUUGUCUAAUUGUUUGUCUAUUGUUUAUUAUGUUUUGUCUUGUAACAUAACUAUGCUGCUCAUAGUGUUUCCAUAGAUGAGCUUGGGGGUAUUAAAUAAGUUUUCUUCCUCCUACUCCCUUUUUCAGGCAUUCUAUGUUUAUGUUAUCAUAUUGGAAUUUUUUCAUUUUUUCAUUGUUAUAAAUCACCUGAAAUGAAUGAAUAAAAAAAAAAAUAAAUAAAUCAUGGAUGACGGAGGUCAUUGUGGGCAGUGAUAAGUUGGCGGUUGUAACUUUCCAUUACAAAAUAUUACGAAAUCAUCACUUUCUUUACUGAAAUACUUGGAAACUGCAAAAACACCUAAGUAGUCACAACAUUUACUUUAACUUCAGCUGCUUUUCGAAUUCAGUAAAAUUAUAUUUUCAUUUUCAUCGUAAAAACACUGCUCUUUACUGAUGUACUACAAUUUAACAUGUCAUUGGCAACAAUCUGAAUAUGACUUUUGAGAUGGAUUGCAUCUGAAAGUAGACAUCGUGUAACUUGGUGUUUGUGUGAAGCAGAUGUCUUAUCUCUUCAAUCCAUCGUCCCAAAUUCUGGAUGUCCUGGAUAAACUUGCCUUGUCAGUGGUUAAGUAGAAGCAAACAUACACUUUGGUAAAUACACUGAAUCAACUCUAUUUUUAAAUAAAAGUGGAAAGCAAUGAAAUGUACGCAGAAUUUUUCACUUUAUUUCUUGUGCUUUUUAAAAUAUAUCUUGAACUUGGUUUUGUAAUGAGAAUUGUGAAGGAAAUGUUAUUUGAACACACACACACCAACACAAAAUGUCUAUUUUCAAACGGCGUAUAUUGUGGGAAAGAAGGACUCAUAAGUUAAGAUUUGCCAGAAAUAUUGUAGAACAUUUAUAAAAUUUGAAAGAUAAAUUACACAUUACAAAACAAAAGGAAAGCUACAAAUGUAUCUAUGGUUCUAUGAAUCCCGGAUGACGGCCAGAGCGCUCUGUCACUCAGAAACUUUCUACUUCAUCCCUCCCUCCAGGAGGCGGUGUUAAAAGCACUGAAUUCAUAGUCAGGAGGAAACCCAGAGACCAAUCUCACUGAGAAGCCUCUGCAGAGCCAAGGACCACGGUGGAUGGGGAGUGGCGGCAUUCAUGCUCUUACAACCCAGAAAAAAAAGUGCUGGUGUUCCCCAGGAGGCAGCAGCAUAUAUGUCGUCUUUGAUUGGAGUGUGGGCACCGCUCCAGUGGGGUGACAGCACAGACCCGAUGGUAGAGAGAAGUUCGCCACCUGAUAAGAAUGGUGAAAGGUAUCCAGAAUUCAGUGGGAUAAACAGUGCUUGAAAAGGGCAGAGUCUCCAUCAGGGCCUCCAUAACAGCCCAAAAGCUGUUUGGAGGCACCAAUUCGUGUGGUACGGUCAAUAUAGCAUCCCAGGCCUCUGGCUGGUCACAAGAGUUCCUCCAGGUCUCCAGCAACCCUUGAUGGAGAGCCAUGUCAUGGCAGAGCAGGAUUACUAUUGCAACAACACAUCAUCAGUAGGGUCAAACUAACCUGUCUCACGACGGUCUAAACCCAGCUCACCUUCCCUAUUAGUGGGUGAACAAUCCAACGCCUGGUGAAUUCUGAUAGGAAGAGCCGACAUCGAAGGAUCAAAAAGCGACGUCACUAUGAACGCUUGGCCGCCACAACCCAGUUAUCCCUGUGGCAUUUUACAGGCUGAAUAGACUGUAGACCAGACACCACCUUUGUGAAAAGGGCAACGUUCGGUCUUAUGCUGCGUUCACACCGGAUGCGAGUAGCGCGGCGAGUGCGGCCGAUUUACAUAGAAAAUAUAUGGUUUUCGCGCGGUAAGGAAGCGGCGAGCGGUGACGCGGCGAGAAUUCAGCGAAUUGAGCGGCGGCCGCUCCGCCGCUCUACUCACGCGGAUCGCGCGGCGGCCGCGCAAACCGCUCUACUCGCGCCGCUCAAAGUUGGAAAAGCUGAACUUUUGAGGGAAUUCGCGAGCGGCGAACCAAUCACAUUGCCGCUCUAUAUGACGUCGUUUAUGACGAACCGGAGCACCCGCGAAACACCAGAAAUGGAUGAUAAACUGAUUACAGCGGUCUGCGCUCGCCCUGAGCUUUACGACCCUUCGUCGUAUUUUUAUCGGGACAGGAAUAAAAAGGAGCUUGCUUGGAGGAAGAUUAGUGAGGAGGUCGGGUCCCCGGGUAAGUUUUGUUCACUUUUUACGUGAGUGCGCCUUGUAAAUGUGUGUAGCUACUCAAAAUCUGGUUAGCACAAUGUUAGCUACAAUGCUACUGCUCGUUCUCCGUUCACUAGUCAAUGUGUGUUUAUUCAGCUGAAGUAUACAAAAAGCGGUGGAAAAACCUGAGGGACACGUACACCAAAGAGAGCAGGAAGGAGAAAGAGAGGAGGAGAAGCGGUGCAGCAGCAGAGUCAGCACAGAGGUGGAAGUACCUUGCUGUCCUGUCUUUCCUCGAGCCCUUCAUCACCCCCCGGGAAACAUCGGGCAACAUGUCCCAGGGAGGGGCCGAGGGGGGUCAGGCAGCAGGGUACAGCCCAGAGCCGCAGGAAGAAGCAGCAGCAGCAGCAGCAGGGCUGUCAGGUGCAGGUCGGUGGUAAUGACAAGGAAAAAGAGCAGAUAUGAAAUGGUAGAGAAAAAAAAUGCUUUGUCUGCCCAGUUUGCUGCCUUUUUUUUAAUAAUAAUUGUCGGAAUUAUCAUUAUUUCUGUCUUUAUUAUUAUUUUUAAUUCGUUAUUGAUGAUAUUGGUAGUAGUAUAACAGUAAUUUUAGUAAUUUAAGUAUAGAAGUGCACAUUGCAUGUGGCGUGAAAUCAUUUUAACUUUUUUCAUGACAGAAUCAGACACUGAGCCUGAUGCCCUGCCUGGCCCAGAGUCCCCCGCUGCUGCUGCUGCUUCCACCUCUGUGCUGACUGACCCCGCUGCUGCAGCUGCAGGCCCACCAAAGAAGAGGCAAAGAAGGAGGCCCCAGUUCUCUCCAGGGCCGUCCGAGUAUGAAUGCCGGAUCAUGGAGGAACUGAGGGCCAGCAGGGAGGCGCGAUUGUCUAGUCCAAUGACACCUGAUGACCACUUCCUGCUUUCUUUGGGGCCUCUCCUGCAAAAAGUGCCACCUCAUCUCAAAGACUUUGUAAAAUUUCAAAUUCACAAAUUACUUUAUGAGAACAGCACUGUAACGCUGAAUUUGGAACCAUUGGAGCCGUCAGAGUGAUUUUUCACUAAACGAGGUGACAUCUUUUGCAGGAGAGGAAAGACUUCUUUACGUGUCUCUCAUUUUUUCCACCGCACCUCCUCCAAGCAAGCUCCUUUUCAUUCCUGUCCCAUGUUUAAAUAUGUAAAUAGUUUUCUGUGUAAUAAUAAUUCAAAUUAAAUAUUCUUUUGUAUCAA
Molecule: long non-coding RNA, 4901 nt
Organism: Salarias fasciatus (jewelled blenny)
Lineage: Eukaryota; Metazoa; Chordata; Actinopteri; Blenniiformes; Blenniidae
Exons: 2
Source: RefSeq, a predicted model, not a curated record